This 736-nucleotide ribosomal RNA is filed under the name Lactobacillus gasseri. RNAcentral describes it as "bacterial SSU rRNA". It matches the Rfam family "Bacterial small subunit ribosomal RNA", at positions 57 to 754 of the family's 1533-position model. Lineage: Bacteria; Bacillati; Bacillota; Bacilli; Lactobacillales; Lactobacillaceae. The record is from RNAcentral.
GCAGUCGAGCGAGCUUGCCUAGAUGAAUUUGGUGCUUGCACCAGAUGAAACUAGAUACAAGCGAGCGGCGGACGGGUGAGUAACACGUGGGUAACCUGCCCAAGAGACUGGGAUAACACCUGGAAACAGAUGCUAAUACCGGAUAACAACACUAGACGCAUGUCUAGAGUUUAAAAGAUGGUUCUGCUAUCACUCUUGGAUGGACCUGCGGUGCAUUAGCUAGUUGGUAAGGUAACGGCUUACCAAGGCAAUGAUGCAUAGCCGAGUUGAGAGACUGAUCGGCCACAUUGGGACUGAGACACGGCCCAAACUCCUACGGGAGGCAGCAGUAGGGAAUCUUCCACAAUGGACGCAAGUCUGAUGGAGCAACGCCGCGUGAGUGAAGAAGGGUUUCGGCUCGUAAAGCUCUGUUGGUAGUGAAGAAAGAUAGAGGUAGUAACUGGCCUUUAUUUGACGGUAAUUACUUAGAAAGUCACGGCUAACUACGUGCCAGCAGCCGCGGUAAUACGUAGGUGGCAAGCGUUGUCCGGAUUUAUUGGGCGUAAAGCGAGUGCAGGCGGUUCAAUAAGUCUGAUGUGAAAGCCUUCGGCUCAACCGGAGAAUUGCAUCAGAAACUGUUGAACUUGAGUGCAGAAGAGGAGAGUGGAACUCCAUGUGUAGCGGUGGAAUGCGUAGAUAUAUGGAAGAACACCAGUGGCGAAGGCGGCUCUCUGGUCUGCAACUGACGCUGAGGCUC